Molecule: ribosomal RNA, 774 nt
Filed under: uncultured Neocallimastigales
Lineage: Eukaryota; Fungi; Neocallimastigomycota; Neocallimastigomycetes; Neocallimastigales
Description: partial large subunit ribosomal RNA
Rfam family: Eukaryotic large subunit ribosomal RNA
Source: RNAcentral
AUAUCAGUCAUGCAUAGCAUAUCAAUAAGCGGAGGAAAAGAAACUAACAAGGAUUCCCUUAGUAACGGCGAGUGAAGCGGGAAGAGCUCAAAUUUGAAAUCUUCAAGGUUUUACCUUGACGAAUUGUAGUUUAAAGAAGUGUUUUCUGUUGAAGUUUUGGUAAGAGUUCUUUGGAAUAGGACAUCAUAGAGGGUGAGAAUCCCGUAUUUGACCAUUACUUUCAGCUUUGUGAUACACUUUCAAAGAGUCGGAUUGUUUGGGAAUGCAGUCCAAAAUGGGUGGUAAAUUUCAUCUAAAGCUAAAUAUUGGCGAGAGACCGAUAGCGAACAAGUACCGUGAGGGAAAGAUGAAAAGAACUUUGAAAAGAGAGUUAAACAGUACGUGAAAUUGUCAAAAGGGAAGCGUUUGACACCAGUGUUGUUUUCUCGAAAAUCAAUUAAAAAGAGUUGGAUUUUGUGUUGUAUUGACUUUAUCAGCUUUCUUCACUCUUUUCCAGCUUUUUUUAAUGCACUUUUCGUUUAACAAGUCAACAUCAGUUUCUUUUGUUGUAAAAAGGUCAUUGGAAGGUGGCUUUCUCUUCGGAGAAAGUGUUUAUAGCCUUUGACUCAUGCAAUCGGAGAGACUGAGGUCUGCAGCGUAGAUCCUUCGGGGUUAGAUACAUUUGUGCUAAGUUAUAGCUUUUCAUAGACAACUUGUUGACUAUGUUUAGUCUUGUAGCUUACUCGCUUAUGCUAUUUUACCUACGCUUAGGAUGUUGAACUCUAUCACACACAG